GAUGAAGAACGUAGCGAAAUGCGAUAAGUAAUGUGAAUUGCAGAAUUCAGUGAAUCAUCGAAUCUUUGAACGCACAUUGCGCCCGCCAGUAUUCUGGCGGGCAUGCCUGUUCGAGCGUCAUUACAACCCUCAGGCCCCCGGGCCUGGCGUUGGGGAUCGGCGGAGCCCCCCGUGGGCACACGCCGUCCCCCAAAUACAGUGGCGGUCCCGCCGCAGCUUCCAUCGCGUAGUAGCUAACACCUCGCGACUGGAGAGCGGCGCGGCCACACCGUAAAACACCCAACUCUUCUGAAGUUGACCUCGAAUCAGGUAGGAAUACCCGCUGAACUUAAGCAUAUCAAUAAGCGGAGGA
This 352-nucleotide unclassified non-coding RNA is filed under the name soil metagenome. RNAcentral's name for it is "partial contains 5.8S ribosomal RNA, internal transcribed spacer 2, and large subunit ribosomal RNA". The stretch from base 1 to 120 matches the Rfam family "5.8S ribosomal RNA", at positions 35 to 154 of the family's 154-position model. The record is from RNAcentral.